This 439-nucleotide ribosomal RNA is filed under the name uncultured bacterium. RNAcentral describes it as "partial 16S ribosomal RNA". It matches the Rfam family "Bacterial small subunit ribosomal RNA", at positions 339 to 795 of the family's 1533-position model. The record is from RNAcentral.
CUACGGGUUGCACCAGUGAGGAAUAUUGCACAAUGGGGGGAACCCUGAUGCAGCAACGCCGCGUGGAGGAUGACGCAUUUCGGUGUGUAAACUCCUUUUAUAUGUCAAGAAAAUGACGGUAGCAUAUGAAUAAGCACCGGCUAACUCCGUGCCAGCAGCCGCGGUAAUACGGAGGGUGCAAGCGUUACUCGGAAUCACUGGGCGUAAAGGACGCGUAGGCGGGUUGGAAAGUCAGGUGUGAAAUCCUACAGCUUAACUGUAGAACUGCACUUGAAACUUCUAAUCUAGAGUAUGGGAGGGGGAGAUGGAAUUAGUGGUGUAGGGGUAAAAUCCGUAGAUAUCACUAGGAAUACCUAAAGCGAAGGCGAUCUCCUGGAACAUUACUGACGCUAAGGCGUGAAAGCGUGGGGAGCAAACAGGAUUAGAUACCCGCGUAGUC